This is a long non-coding RNA of Sorghum bicolor (sorghum), 432 nucleotides long. RefSeq lists it as uncharacterized. NCBI's taxonomy places the organism in Eukaryota, Viridiplantae, Streptophyta, Magnoliopsida, Poales, Poaceae. The transcript is spliced from 2 exons. The record is from RefSeq and is a predicted model, not a curated record.
UUCUGGCCCAUCGUUAUUCUCUUCCAAGCGCGAAUUGCGUUUCCGCUUCCUUCGCCGGCGAGAUGACCUCCCGCUGUUCCGCACCGGCGAACGGCGGCGGACCCGUCUCUGGAGACCUGCGCAGCCGCACGCAGGACCAGCAGAGCGCCUAUAUGGGUUAGGUACUCUCUUCAGUGCUGUUGCCUGUUGUGGCCAAUUUGGGUCCCCAAGCAGCAUGAUAAACUUUUCUCGUUUUCAUUUCAUCUUCAUCAACUGUUUCAUUGACCAAAAUGUGGUGCUCACGUGUGCAUGAACCGAUUCAAUUAAUUUGCCCUUGUUUCUUCUGCUUUAGUUGACCUCGGGUGUCGGCUGACAUUUUUCAGUGUACGGUAUCUAUUUAUCUAUUCAAGAUGGUGAAAAUCGAAGCAACCCUGUCCACUUGAGAGGCUGAUA